Molecule: long non-coding RNA, 1088 nt
Organism: Panicum hallii
Lineage: Eukaryota; Viridiplantae; Streptophyta; Magnoliopsida; Poales; Poaceae
Exons: 3
Source: RefSeq, a predicted model, not a curated record
CAGUGUUGCGUGUGCGAGGUCGUGGCCGAUCCAACCUGCGCCAGUGCUAGCUUCGGAAUAGUGCGCCGCCGCUUUGGUUCAGGGAGUCCAGGCCUUCCAGGGCAUUGGCUCCUCCUUGGUUCCUUAGGUUGCCGCCAACUAGCGUUGCGUGCGUGCGUGCCAACUGCUUGCUGAAAUUCCUUUGACGGUUGGGAGGAAUGCUCCUGGCGUCCGGUGGACACUAUGUGCUCGCUCCUGAGUAUGUUCUUCGACGACUCGUCGUCAUCUGACGACGACGACGACUUUGAUAUGGUGGCGAUUUUACUCAUCGGCAUUGCAAUGAACGUGGGGGCGCAAGCAUGGUGGGCGUAAGAAGCAUGAUCGGCGUAAGGUGGUCCGUCGGAAGCUCUUUGAUGAUUACUCAACAGACGACGAGUCCACGUCCGGCACUACCUCCCCCUCGGCCGCCACGACUCCGGCCACCGCGAAGCUUGCCAUGGUGCCACAGUCCACGGCGUUCCCGCGCAGGUCUGCUGCUGCCAGGAAAAUCUCCAGGAGGCCCAGGACCCGCGGCCUCGUCGCGCGCGCUGGAGGCGAGGAGGAGCGUGCCUGUCAUGGACCUGUCUGCUGGUGAAGCACCCAUGACAAGGCGUCAGAAGAGGAAAGCUUCGGUGCAGGCAAAGCGGAAGGUGAAGGAAGCGCAAGCUGGCGGGAACUCUGCAGAAGAGGCGCGGGAACUGAAGAUGGGCUCGAUCCGGCUGGCCCGGCUACACGCCGUGAAGCAAACCCAACCCGAAGUACCUCGGACCAGAGUGGGUGCGUUGAGGCAGGCCUAGCAAAUGCUGCGGCCUCUGGGGAUCGUCGUCUACGUCAAGAUUCAGGCUUUUAAUAGCCUACUAAUAGGUAGAUCUUGACCGUCUAUCCGGCCGGAGAAACGACGGCAAGCAUCGUCGACAUUUUGGAUCGUGCUACUCUAUUACUUGAACCUCCUAUAGAAGAACCGUAUCAGGGCCUUUGGUGGGGAACAGGGCUCCGGACUUGGCCGAGUCCGUAUUCAGACAUUUCAACCGUAUCGGCUGAUGGUGCUCCUGCCACCUGCGUUGUGCGUU